UUUCCGUAGGUGAACCUGCGGAAGGAUCAUUAAUAAAUUUUUUUGAAAUAAAAAAAAAUAAUAAUCAUCCUACCCUUUGUGAAUUUGUUUGUUGAAUAAUUUUUAAAAUUAUUUAUUGUCUAUCCAGUUGGAAAGUUGUAAAAAGACUAGAAGGCUUGGAGCGGCAUAAAUAAAUUUAAAGACUUUUUCUAAAAUUAACUUUUGUAUUCAUUGUCUAAAAUAAUUUUUAUAAUAUAUAAAACAACUUUGACAAUGGAUCUCUUGGUUCUCGCACGAUGAAGAACGCAGCAAAAUGCGAUAAGUAAUGUGAAUUGCAGAAUACGUGAAUCAUCGAAUCUUCGAGCGCAUAUUGCACUUUUUAGUUACUAAAAAAGUAUGUCUGUUUGAGUAUCAGUAAAAUAUUCUCAUAAAAUUUUUUAAUUUUAUGGUUAUGAGUGUUUUACAACGAUAAACAAGUUGUUUCACUUUAAAUUGAAUUUUUUGAAGAAAUUCUUAAUUCAAAUUAAAUUUGGAUAAAAUUUCCGUAAAAAGGAAUAACUAUACAAGUUUAAUAAGAAUUUAGUGAUUCUUUUAUGAAAAGGAAAUUUAUUAAAUAACUUGAUCUCAAUCAGAUAAGAGUCCCGCUGAACUUAAGCAUAUCAAUAAGCGGAGGAAAAGAAACUAACAAGGAUUCCCUAGUAACGGCGAGUGAAGCGGGAAGAGCUCAAAUUUGAAUCUUAAAGGUUUCCCUUACGAAUUGUAGUUUAAGAAGUGUUUCUGUUGAGGUUUUGGUAAAAGUUCUUUGAAUAGGACAUCAUAGAGGGUGAGAAUCCGUAUUUGACCUUUACUUUCAACUUUGUGAUACACUUCAAAGAGUCGGAUUGUUUGGGAAUGCAGUCCAAAUGGGUGGUAAUUUCAUCUAAAGCUAAAUAUUGGCGAGAGACCGAUAGCGAACAAGUACGUGAGGAAAGAUGAAAGAACUUUGAAAGAGAGUUAAACAGUACGUGAAAUUGUCAAAAGGGAAGCGUUUGACACCAGUGUUGUUUUUCUGAAAUCAAUUAAAGAACUGUUUAUGCUAAGCUGUUUAGACUUUAUCAGCUAUCUGUUUAGUUUUGAGCUUUUCUUUAAUGCACUUUCAGUUAACAAGUCAACAUCAAUUCUUUUGCUGUAAAAAGCUUGAGGAAGGUGGCUUGAGAUUCGUCUUAAGUGUUAUAGCCUCUUGCCUAUGCAGUUGGAGAGAUUGAGGUCUGCAGCGUAGAUCUUCGGGCUAAAUGCAUUUGUGCUAAGUUAUAGCAUUUUAUAGACAGCUUGUUGACUAUGAUUGUCUUGUAGCUUACUCGCUUAUGUUAUU
This 1330-nucleotide unclassified non-coding RNA is filed under the name uncultured Neocallimastigales. RNAcentral's name for it is "partial contains small subunit ribosomal RNA, internal transcribed spacer 1, 5.8S ribosomal RNA, internal transcribed spacer 2, and large subunit ribosomal RNA". The stretch from base 599 to 1330 matches the Rfam family "Eukaryotic large subunit ribosomal RNA", at positions 1 to 616 of the family's 3401-position model. Lineage: Eukaryota; Fungi; Neocallimastigomycota; Neocallimastigomycetes; Neocallimastigales. The record is from RNAcentral.